AGCUUGUCAGUGAUGUACUUUGAAAAAAAUGUCUGAACAUAUGAAUUAAUAGUGAUUUCAGCAUUUAACUGAGAUGAGCU
Molecule: small nucleolar RNA, 80 nt
Organism: Monodelphis domestica (gray short-tailed opossum)
Lineage: Eukaryota; Metazoa; Chordata; Mammalia; Didelphimorphia; Didelphidae
Gene: SNORD72
Product: small nucleolar RNA, C/D box 72
Source: Ensembl